GACGAACGCUGGCGGCGUGCUUAACACAUGCAAGUCGAACGGAAAGGCCCUGCUUUUGUGGGGUGCUCGAGUGGCGAACGGGUGAGUAACACGUGAGUAACCUGCCCUUGACUUUGGGAUAACUUCAGGAAACUGGGGCUAAUACCGGAUAGGAGCUCCUGCUGCAUGGUGGGGGUUGGAAAGUUUCGGCGGUUGGGGAUGGACUCGCGGCUUAUCAGCUUGUUGGUGGGGUAGUGGCUUACCAAGGCUUUGACGGGUAGCCGGCCUGAGAGGGUGACCGGCCACAUGGGGACUGCGAUACGGCCCAGACUCCUACGGGAGGCAGCAGUGGGGAGUAUUGCACAAUGGGCGGAAGCCUGAUGCAGAAACGCCGCGUGCGGGAUGACGGCCUUCGGGUUGUAAACCGCUUUCGCCUGUGACGAAGCGUGAGUGACGGUAAUGGGUAAAGAAGCACCGGCUAACUACGUG
RNAcentral lists this ribosomal RNA (468 nucleotides) under uncultured bacterium. RNAcentral's name for it is "partial 16S ribosomal RNA". It matches the Rfam family "Bacterial small subunit ribosomal RNA", at positions 28 to 507 of the family's 1533-position model. The record is from RNAcentral.